GACGAACGCUGGCGGCGUGCUUAACACAUGCAAGUCGAACGAUGAAGCCUAGCUUGCUAGCUGGGUCAGAGGCGCACGGGUGAGUAAUACGUGACUGACCUACAACUGAUUAUGAGCUAAGCCUGGGCAAAUGGGUAUCAUACCGGAUACGACCAAUCUACGAUUGGAGUGUUGGUCGAAACCGUUAUGUGGUGGUAUUAGAUGGGCUCACGGCCUAUCAGCUUCUUGGCGUGGUAAUGGCUUACCGAGGCGACGACGCGUAGGCGGCCUGAGAGGGUCACCGGACACACUGGGACGGAGAUACGGCACAGACUCCUACGGGAGGCAACGGAGGAGAGUAGUGUACUAUAGGCGGAAGCCUGAUGCAGCGACGCCGCGUGGGGGGAGUCGUGCAGCGGGUUGUAAACCACUGUUAUCUUCGAAGAAGCGAAAGUGACGGUAGGUGCAGAGAAAGCGCCGGCUAACUACGUG
Molecule: ribosomal RNA, 471 nt
Filed under: uncultured bacterium
Lineage: Bacteria
Description: partial 16S ribosomal RNA
Rfam family: Bacterial small subunit ribosomal RNA
Source: RNAcentral